GACGAACGCUGGCGGCGUGCUUAACACAUGCAAGUCGAACGGAAAGGCCCUGCUUUUGUGGGGUGCUCGAGUGGCGAACGGGUGAGUAACACGUGAGUAACCUGCCCUUGACUUUGGGAUAACUUCAGGAAACUGGGGCUAAUACCGGAUAGGAGCUCCUGCUGCAUGGUGGGGGUUGGAAAGUUUCGGCGGUUGGGGAUGGACUCGCGGGUUAUCAGCUUGUUGGUGGGGUAGUGGCUUACCAAGGCUUUGACGGGUAGCCGGCCUGAGAGGGUGACCGGCCACAAUGCGACUGAGAGACGGAGCAGACUCGUACGGGAGGCAGCAGUGGGGAAUAUUGCACAGUGGGCGGAAGCCUGAUGCAGCGGCGCCGCGUGCGGGAUGACGGCCUUCGGGUUGUAAACCGCUUUCGCCUGUGACGAAGCGUGAGUGACGGUACUGGGUAAAGAAGCACCGGCUAACUACGUG
RNAcentral lists this ribosomal RNA (468 nucleotides) under uncultured bacterium. RNAcentral's name for it is "partial 16S ribosomal RNA". It matches the Rfam family "Bacterial small subunit ribosomal RNA", at positions 28 to 507 of the family's 1533-position model. The record is from RNAcentral.